CAGGACGACGCUGGCGGCGUGCCUAAUACAUGCAAGUCGAACGGUCUUUCUAUGGAAGCUUGCUUCCACUGAAAAGAUAGUGGCGAACGGGUGAGUAACACGUGGGUAACCUGCCCAUAAGAGGGGGGAUAACAUCCGGAAACGGGUGCUAAUACCGCAUAGUUUUCUUGAUCGCAUGAUCGGGAAAGGAAAGACGGCCUUUGUGCUGUCGCUUAUGGAUGGACCCGCGGCGUAUUAGUUAGUUGGUGAGGUAACGGCUCACCAAGACGAUGAUACGUAGCCGACCUGAGAGGGUGAUCGGCCACAUUGGGACUGAGACACGGCCCAAACUCCUACGGGAGGCAGCAGUAGGGAAUCUUCCGCAAUGGACGAAAGUCUGACGGAGCAACGCCGCGUGAGUGAAAGAAGGUUUUCGGAUCGUAAAACUCUGUUGUCAGAGAAGAACAAGUUGGAGAGUAACUGCUCCAGCCUUGACGGUAUCUGACCAGAAAGCCACGGCUAACUACGUGCCAGCCGCCGC
RNAcentral lists this ribosomal RNA (520 nucleotides) under uncultured bacterium. Its description in RNAcentral is "bacterial SSU rRNA". It matches the Rfam family "Bacterial small subunit ribosomal RNA", at positions 25 to 518 of the family's 1533-position model. The record is from RNAcentral.